GAUGAACGCUAGCUACAGGCUUAACACAUGCAAGUCGAGGGGAAACGAUGAGAGAGCUUGCUCUCUUAGUCGUCGACCGGCGCACUGGUGAGGAACGCGUAUCCAACCUGCCUCUGACCAAGGGAUAACCCUUCGAAAGUCGCACUAAUACCUUAUGCAGUCGCCGGAAGUCGUCUGGUGAUGACUAACGUUUUCCUCGUUGAGCGGCGGGUAUGCGUCUGAUUAGCUUGUUGGCUGGGUAACUACCCACCCAGGGGACGAUCAGUAGGCGUUCUGAGAGGAAGGUCCCCCACAAUGGAACUGAGGCACGGUCCAAACUCCUACGGGAGGCAGCAGUGAGGAAUAUUGGGCAAUGGGCGUAAGCCUGAACCAGCCAAGUAGCGUGCGGGAGGACGGGCCUAUGGGUUGUAAACUGCUUGGAUGCGGGGAUAAAGUGAGGGACGUGUCCUUCAUUGCAGGUACCGGAUGAAUAAGGACCGGCUAAUUACGUG
Molecule: ribosomal RNA, 491 nt
Filed under: uncultured bacterium
Lineage: Bacteria
Description: partial 16S ribosomal RNA
Rfam family: Bacterial small subunit ribosomal RNA
Source: RNAcentral